Molecule: ribosomal RNA, 265 nt
Filed under: uncultured bacterium
Lineage: Bacteria
Description: partial 16S ribosomal RNA
Rfam family: Bacterial small subunit ribosomal RNA
Source: RNAcentral
UGUCCUACGGGAGGCAGCAGUGGGGGAUAUUGGACAAUGGGGGGAACCCUGAUUCAGCGACGCCGCGUGAGUGAAGAAGUAUUUCGGUAUGUAAAGCUCUGUCAGCAGGGAAGAAAGCAAUGACGGUACCUGACCAAGAAGCCCCGGCUAACUACGUGCCAGCAGCCGCGGUAAUACGUAGGGGGCAACCGUUAUCCGGAAUUACUGGGUGUAAAGGGAGCGUAGACGGCUGUGCAAGUCUGGCGUGAAAGGCGGGGGCCGAACC